RNAcentral lists this ribosomal RNA (516 nucleotides) under uncultured bacterium. RNAcentral describes it as "bacterial SSU rRNA". It matches the Rfam family "Bacterial small subunit ribosomal RNA", at positions 8 to 518 of the family's 1533-position model. The record is from RNAcentral.
AGAGUUUGAUUCUGGCUCAGGAUGAACGCUGGCGGUGUGCCUAAUACAUGCAAGUCGAUCGGGCGUAGCAAUACGUCAGAGGCGUACGGGUGAGUAACACGUAGGUAACCUACCUUUAAGACUGGGAUACCCAGACGAAAGUUUGGCUAAUACCGGAUAACAACAUUUGAGACAUCUCUUUUGUUUGAAAGGCGCUGCAAGGCGCCACUUUUUAGAUGGACCUGCGUCGCAUUAGCUAGUUGGUGAGAUAAAAGCCCACCAAGGCUGGGAUGCGUAGCCGAUCUGAGAGGAUGACCGGCCACAAUGGGACUGAGACACGGCCCAUACUCCUACGGGAGGCAGCAGUAGGGAGUUUUCGGCAAUGGGGGAAACCCUGACCGAGCAACACCGCGUGAGUGAUGAAGGUCUUCGGAUCGUAAAGCUCUGUUACGAGGGACGAAUGAUCGCUUUAGGAAAUGAGAGCGGUUUGACGGUACCUCGCCAGAAAGCGACGGCUAACUACGUGCCAGCCGCGGC